RNAcentral lists this non-coding RNA (45 nucleotides) under Pseudomonas sp. Its description in RNAcentral is "Guanidine-II sequence". It matches the Rfam family "Guanidine-II riboswitch aptamer (mini-ykkC)". Rfam says of the family: Simpler in structure and has fewer highly conserved nucleotide positions than the ykkC-yxkD leader. Despite this each of its two stem-loop structures directly bind free guanidine. The record is from RNAcentral. Lineage: Bacteria; Pseudomonadati; Pseudomonadota; Gammaproteobacteria; Pseudomonadales; Pseudomonadaceae. RNAcentral also lists the same sequence under 1 other name.
CGAAGGGGACGACCUCAUCGCCUGAAACUAUCCGGGGACGGCCCC